Molecule: transfer RNA, 66 nt
Filed under: Diaphanosoma excisum
Lineage: Eukaryota; Metazoa; Arthropoda; Branchiopoda; Diplostraca; Sididae
Description: tRNA-Leu
Rfam family: tRNA
About the family: Transfer RNA (tRNA) molecules are approximately 80 nucleotides in length. Their secondary structure includes four short double-helical elements and three loops (D, anti-codon, and T loops).
Source: RNAcentral
UCUAAUGUGGCAGAAAAGUGCGCUAGAUUUAAGCUCUAGAUAUAAGAGAAAGUCUCUUCUUUAGAA